AACGAACGCUGGCGGCAGGCUUAACACAUGCAAGUCGAACGCCCUCUUCGGAGGGAGUGGCAGACGGGUGAGUAACGCGUGGGAACCUACCUUUCGGUACGGAACAACAGUUGGAAACGACUGCUAAUACCGUAUACGUCCUUCGGAGAAAGAUUAUCGCCGAUAGAGGGCCGCGUUGGAUUAGCUUGUUGGUGAGGUAAUGGCUCACCAAGGCGACGAUCCGUAGCUGGUCUGAGAGGAUGAUCAGCCACACUGGGACUUAGACACGGCCCAGACUCCUACGGGAGGCAGCAGUGGGGAAUAUUGGACAAUGGGGCGAAAGCCUGAUCCAGCCAUGCCGCGUGAGUGAUGACGGCCCUAGGGUUGUAAAGCUCUUUCAGUGGUGAAGAUAAUGACGUAACCACAGAAGAACCCCGG
RNAcentral lists this ribosomal RNA (417 nucleotides) under uncultured bacterium. Its description in RNAcentral is "bacterial SSU rRNA". It matches the Rfam family "Bacterial small subunit ribosomal RNA", at positions 29 to 495 of the family's 1533-position model. The record is from RNAcentral.